GCAAAAUCAUUUGCCUCUUAAUUAGAGGCUUGUAUGAACGGGUAAACGAAAGUUAAGCUGUCUCCUAUAUGCACCUAAAAACUUCUCUUCAGGUGAAGAAUCCUGAAUUCUAAUAAAAGACAAGAAGACCCUGCGAGCUUUCUCCAACCCGGACAAAACCCUCCGGGAAGGAUGUUUAUUGGGGCAAUAAUGGAGCACAAAAAACCUCCACCACAAUCACGACAUCUAGUCUCCCAAACGACCCUACAAAGAUCAAAGGCAGAGCUACCGCAGGGAUAACAGACUAAUUUUCCUCUAGAGCCCAAAUCUACAGGAAAGUUUGG
Molecule: ribosomal RNA, 323 nt
Filed under: Eunicidae environmental sample
Lineage: Eukaryota; Metazoa; Annelida; Polychaeta; Eunicida; Eunicidae
Description: partial large subunit ribosomal RNA
Rfam family: Bacterial large subunit ribosomal RNA
Source: RNAcentral